GACGAACGCUGGCGGCGUGCUUAACACAUGCAAGUCGAACGGAAAGGCCCUGCUUUUGUGGGGUGCUCGAGUGGCGAACGGGUGAGUAACACGUGAGUAACCUGCCCUUGACUUUGGGAUAACUCCAGGAAACUGGGGCUAAUACCGGAUAGGAGCUCCUGCUGCAUGGGGGGGGUUGGAAAGUUUCGGCGGUUGGGGAUGGACUCGCGGCUUAUCAGCUUGUUGGUGGGGUAGUGGAUUACCAAGGCUUUGACGGGUAGCCGGCCUGAGAGGGUGACCGGCCACAUGGGGACUGAGAUACGGCCCAGACUCCUACGGGAGGCAGCAGUGGGGAAUAUUGCACAAUGGGCGGAAGCCUGAUGCAGCAACGCCGCGUGCGGGAUGACGGCCUUCGGGUUGUAAACCGCUUUCGCCUGUGACGAAGCGUGAGUGACGGUAAUGGGUAAAGAAGCACCGGCUAACUACGUG
This 468-nucleotide ribosomal RNA is filed under the name uncultured bacterium. RNAcentral's name for it is "partial 16S ribosomal RNA". It matches the Rfam family "Bacterial small subunit ribosomal RNA", at positions 28 to 507 of the family's 1533-position model. The record is from RNAcentral.